RNAcentral lists this ribosomal RNA (750 nucleotides) under uncultured Bacteroidota bacterium. RNAcentral describes it as "bacterial SSU rRNA". It matches the Rfam family "Bacterial small subunit ribosomal RNA", at positions 107 to 859 of the family's 1533-position model. Lineage: Bacteria; Pseudomonadati; Bacteroidota. The record is from RNAcentral.
UGCGUAACACGUAUGCAACCUACCUUACAUUGGGGGAUAGCCUUUCGAAAGGGAGAUUAAUACCGCAUAAGACAGUAACUAGGCAUCUAGUAGCUGUUAAAGAUUUAUCGAUGUAAGCUGGGCAUGCGUCCAAUUAGCUAGUUGGUGAGGUAACGGCUCACCAAGGCAAUGAUUGGUAGGGGAACUGAGAGGUCAAUCCCCCACACUGGCACUGAGAUACGGGCCAGACUCCUACGGGAGGCAGCAGUAGGGAAUAUUGGGCAAUGGACGCAAGUCUGACCCAGCCAUGCCGCGUGCAGGAUGAAGGCGUUAUGCGUUGUAAACUGCUUUUAUACAGGAAGAAACGACUCUUGCGAGAGGCAUUGACGGUACUGUAUGAAUAAGCACCGGCUAACUCCGUGCCAGCAGCCGCGGUAAUACGGAGGGUGCAAGCGUUGUCCGGAUUUAUUGGGUUUAAAGGGUGCGCAGGUGGUUUAUUAAGUCAGUGGUGAAAGACGGUCGCUCAACGAUUGCAGUGCCAUUGAAACUGGUAGACUUGAGUAAAGUAGAGGUGGGCGGAAUUGACAGUGUAGCGGUGAAAUGCAUAGAUAUUAUCAAGAACUCCAAUUGCGUAGGCAGCUCACUUGGCUUUUACUGACACUCAUGCACGAAAGUGUGGGUAUCAAACAGGAUUAGAUACCCUGGUAGUCCACACUGUAAACGAUGAUAACUAGGUGUCGGCCGAAUCUGGUCGGUGCCACAGCGAAAGCG